GACAAAUGCCCUGCUUCCAGGAAAAGCCUCUAAGCAUCAGGUAACAUCAAAUCGUACCCCAAACCGACACAGGUGGUCAGGUAGAGAAUACCAAGGCGCUUGAGAGAACUCGGGUGAAGGAACUAGGCAAAAUGGUGCCGUAACUUCGGGAGAAGGCACGCUGAUAUGUAGGUGAAGCGACUUGCUCGUGGAGCUGAAAUCAGUCGAAGAUACCAGCUGGCUGCAACUGUUUAUUAAAAACACAGCACUGUGCAAACACGAAAGUGGACGUAUACGGUGUGACGCCUGCCCGGUGCCGGAAGGUUAAUUGAUGGGGUUAGCGGCAACGCGAAGCUCUUGAUCGAAGCCCCGGUAAACGGCGGCCGUAACUAUAACGGUCCUAAGGUAGCGAAAUUCCUUGUCGGGUAAGUUCCGACCUGCACGAAUGGCGUAAUGAUGGCCAGGCUGUCUCCACCCGAGACUCAGUGAAAUUGAACUCGCUGUGAAGAUGCAGUGUACCCGCGGCAAGACGGAAAGACCCCGUGAACCUUUACUAUAGCUUGACACUGAACAUUGAGCCUUGAUGUGUAGGAUAGGUGGGAGGCUUUGAAGUGUGGACGCCAGUCUGCAUGGAGCCGACCUUGAAAUACCACCCUUUAAUGUUUGAUGUUCUAACGUGGGCCCCUAAUCGGGGUUGCGGACAGUGUCUGGUGGGUAGUUUGACUGGGGCGGUCUCCUCCUAAAGAGUAACGGAGGAGCACGAAGGUUGGCUAAUCCUGGUCGGACAUCAGGAGGUUAGUGCAAUGGCAUAAGCCAGCUUGACUGCGAGCGUGACGGCGCGAGCAGGUGCGAAAGCAGGUCAUAGUGAUCCGGUGGUUCUGAAUGGAAGGGCCAUCGCUCAACGGAUAAAAGGUACUCCGGGGAUAACAGGCUGAUACCGCCCAAGAGUUCAUAUCGACGGCGGUGUUUGGCACCUCGAUGUCGGCUCAUCACAUCCUGGGGCUGAAGUAGGUCCCAAGGGUAUGGCUGUUCGCCAUUUAAAGUGGUACGCGAGCUGGGUUUAGAACGUCGUGAGACAGUUCGGUCCCUAUCUGCCGUGGGCGCUGGAGAACUGAGGGGGGCUGCUCCUAGUACGAGAGGACCGGAGUGGACGCAUCACUGGUGUUCGGGUUGUCAUGCCAAUGGCACUGCCCGGUAGCUAAAUGCGGAAGAGAUAAGUGCUGAAAGCAUCUAAGCACGAAACUUGCCCCGAGAUGAGUUCUCCCUGAGACUUAGAGUCUCCUGAAGGAACGUUGAAGACGACGACGUUGAUAGGCCGGGUGUGUAAGCGCAGCGAUGCGUUGAGCUAACCGGUACUAAUGAACCGUGAGGCUUAACCUU
RNAcentral lists this ribosomal RNA (1359 nucleotides) under Escherichia coli. RNAcentral describes it as "bacterial LSU rRNA". It matches the Rfam family "Bacterial large subunit ribosomal RNA", at positions 1592 to 2925 of the family's 2925-position model. Lineage: Bacteria; Pseudomonadati; Pseudomonadota; Gammaproteobacteria; Enterobacterales; Enterobacteriaceae. The record is from RNAcentral.